Molecule: ribosomal RNA, 253 nt
Filed under: uncultured bacterium
Lineage: Bacteria
Description: partial 16S ribosomal RNA
Rfam family: Bacterial small subunit ribosomal RNA
Source: RNAcentral
GACGAGGGAUCCUAGCGUUGCUCGGAAUCAUUGGGCGUAAAGCGGGUGUAGGUGGCUUGGUAAGUCAGAUGUGAAAGCCCAGGGCUCAACCCUGGAAGUGCAUUUGAAACUGCUAAGCUUGAGUGCUAGAGAGGUUAUUAGAAUACCUGGUGUAGUGGUGAAAUACGUAGAUAUCAGGUGGAACACCGGAGGCGAAGGCGGAUAACUGGCUAGACACUGACACUGAGACCCGAAAGUGUGGGGAUCAAACAGG